AAUUAUUUUAAAAAUUUUUCGACGUCCGUGACGUCGAGUAGAUCAAUGUGGUAUAUUCAUAUACCCAAAUUGAGCACCGUAUGAGAACGUUAUUAAGGAUUGUUGGUUAGGUGUUCAAAUAACGUUUUAUAGUUUUUGCAUUUAGGUGAAAAUAUGAAUUGACGAUCCGACCGUUGGAUCAUCACCAAACUUUGAUACGUUGCAAUACGUAAUAUUUGAGGAUUAUAGGAACUUACGGAUUAGGAAUCCGAUUUACGGAUCUUCCGGAAUUGGAGUUGUAAGUUCAUAAAAUAGAAUGUAAACCGUCACUUAGUUUUGUUAAUUGACGGAGAUCCGACCGUUGGAUGGUGAUGAAAUUUUAGGAUGUUGUCCUAGAGAUAUAUUGUGGACCUCUGGAAGUUAUGGAUUUAAAAUCUGAGUGGCAGAUCUUCCGGAUCGAUCUACGUAGUGACGUAUUUUAUAUAAGUUAUAUAUUCUAUCGAUAUGGAUUCUGAGGCUGGAUUUGAUUACUGUUCUAGGCGGCAAUCGUCAUGACACCUUGAUGUGUGGUGCUAGGGAGUUGUUGGACGAACUCCAGGUGAGUGGGCAGUUUUGUUUUCCGUAUACAUAUAUACUUGCCGUUUUCCCAGAAAUUGAAAAUGCAUGAAAUUAUGCUUUAAAUGAAAAUGUAUAAAAGUAUAUGAGAUAUAUUAGUUGAAUUGCCAUGCAUAGAAGUAUGCGAAAAGUAUAUAGAAUUAUAUGAAAAACGUGAAUCGAAUUGCCAUGCAUGAAAUGAUAUGAAUUGAUAUAUGAUGCAUAUGUAUGAAUUGGUGCGGCGGACGCACAGGUGAGUAUCAGGUUAAUAUUUAAAUACUGUUAUGAUGAUGUUGAUAUAAAUUGAGCUCAAAUCCUGCACCAUGGUUUAGUGCUUAUAGUAUUCACCGCAUCGCACGCUCGCCUUGGAUCCAAGUAAAUGCUGGUCGCACAGUCCACGCGGAGUGGGUGCGACGGGCCAGUCGAAGAGUGUUAAUGAGAUUUCGACUGGUGGGUGACCUUAGAUUAUGUGCACAGAUGAUUGAUGAGAAAGCACUAGAGCGUAAUAUUAACCAUUAAGUCGUACAGACUACAUUAGGUGGUUCCGACUUAUGUGCAGAAGGCCGUACAGGUCACAGAGGUGACUCCGGCAGAGUGAUAGUGAUAGAUUUUGAGCUCUAGGUUCAACCGUACAGGGCUAUUAGAGGGCCUCCGGUUGAUUACUUUCUUGCACCUGAUAUGAUUAUUGUUGAUGCAUCCAUACUUAACUGUUGAAUUAGACAUGGCAUGGCAUGAUUGACAAAGAAAAAUGUUGAGAUAGUAAAAAUGAAGUUUUGAGAAUAUAUAUGUAUAUUUAUAUUUUACAUUUCUGGGAAAGUAUACAAGUUUUACGGAGAGGGGUUACAACGUUUUGAGAAAUGUUUGGAUUUGGAAAAGAAUUGUUUUACUGACCCACUCAAUUUUGGUUUUGCGCCCCUCCAGGUUCAGGAAUCACAAAGGUGUGGUGACUACGAGGAAUUCGACGGUGUUCUGACAGAUUGGACAAAAUUAGGAC
Molecule: long non-coding RNA, 1567 nt
Filed under: Malus domestica (apple)
Lineage: Eukaryota; Viridiplantae; Streptophyta; Magnoliopsida; Rosales; Rosaceae
Description: long non-coding RNA (MDOM_LNC005982)
Source: RNAcentral